This 440-nucleotide ribosomal RNA is filed under the name uncultured bacterium. RNAcentral describes it as "partial 16S ribosomal RNA". It matches the Rfam family "Bacterial small subunit ribosomal RNA", at positions 338 to 795 of the family's 1533-position model. The record is from RNAcentral.
CCUACGGGUGGCAGCAGUAGGGAAUAUUGCUCAAUGGGGGAAACCCUGAAGCAGCAACGCCGCGUGGGGGAUGAAGGUUUUCGUAUUGUAAACCCCUUUUGUUAGAGAAGAUAAUGACGGUAUCUACCGACUAAGCACCGGCUAACUCCGUGCCAGCAGCCGCGGUCAUACGGAGGGGGCAAGCGUUACUCGGAAUCACUGGGCGUAAAGAGCGCGUAGGCGGGAGAGCAAGUCAGAUGUGAAAUCCUAUGGCUUAACCCUAGAACUGCAUUUGAAACUGUUAUUCUAGAGUAUGGGAGAGGUAGGUGGAAUUCUUGGUGUAGGGGUAAAAUCCGUAGAGAUCAAGAGGAAUACUCAUUGCGAAGGCGACAUGCUAGAACAUAACUGACGCUGAGGCGCGAAAGCGUGGGGAGCAAACAGGAUUAGAUACCCUGGUAGUC